RNAcentral lists this non-coding RNA (829 nucleotides) under Eurolophosaurus divaricatus. RNAcentral's name for it is "partial small subunit ribosomal RNA". It matches the Rfam family "Bacterial small subunit ribosomal RNA". Lineage: Eukaryota; Metazoa; Chordata; Lepidosauria; Squamata; Tropiduridae. The record is from RNAcentral.
GGUCCUAAACUUGCCGCUGUUUUUGAUUAGAUUUACACAUGUAAGUAUCCGCACGCCAGUGAAUACGCCCUAAAAUAAAUACGGAGCAGGUAUCAGGCACAAACUUUAGCCCAAAACACCUAGCUUUGCCACACCCCCACGGGAAAUCAACAGUGAUAAACAUUAAGCUAUAAGCGACCCACCAACUAAAGCUUGACUUAGUUAUAAUCAAUUAGAGUCGGCCAAUCUCGUGCCAGCCGCCGCGGUUAUACGAGAGACUCAAAUCAGCCCCAACCGGCGUAAAUUGUGACUAGAAUACUAACCAACCAUAAAGGGAAAAACUAAAACUCAACUGUAAAACUCGAGCAAAAUGAAUCCCCUUUACCCAAGGACAUUUGAACUCACGAAUGCUAAGAAACAAACUAGGAUUAGAUACCCUACUAUGCUCAGCCAUAAAUAAGAUCAGCACCAAACAACUGAUCCGCCAGAGAACUACAAGCGAAAAGCCUGAAACUCAAAAGACUUGGCGGUGCCCCACACCCGACUUAGAGGAGCCUGUCCUAUAAUCGAUAACCCACGAUAAACCCGACCGCCCUUUGCCAAUCAGCCUAUAUACCGCCGUCGCAAACCUACCUCACAAGAGAACAAUCGUAGGUAUAAUAGCCAACACUAAAACGUCAGGUCAAGGUGUAGCUAAUAGUGCGGAAGAGAUGGGCUACAUUCUUUAAACCUAAAGCAAACAAAAAGAACAAUGAAACACCUUCUAAACGGUGGAUUUAACAGUAAGCCCGGCAAGAAAGCCGAACUUAAGCCCGCCCUGGGGCGCGCACACACCGCCCGUCACCCUCCU